Molecule: ribosomal RNA, 327 nt
Filed under: uncultured Acidobacteriota bacterium
Lineage: Bacteria; Pseudomonadati; Acidobacteriota
Description: bacterial SSU rRNA
Rfam family: Bacterial small subunit ribosomal RNA
Source: RNAcentral
AAUCAACGCUGGCGGCGUGCCUAACACAUGCAAGUCGAACGAGAAAGCGGGGGCAACCCUGCAAGUAAAGUGGCAGACGGGUGAGUAACACGUGAACAACCUACACUCGAGUGUGGGAUAACCCCGCGAAAGCGGGGCUAAUACCGCAUAACAUCCAUCGGUUGCAUGACUGAUGGAUCAAGGGCGAAAGUCGCUUGAGGAGGGGUUCGCGGCUGAUUAGCUAGUUGGUGAGGUAACGGCCCACCAAGGCAACGAUCAGUAGCCGGCCUGAGAGGGCGAACGGCCACACUGGAACUGAGACACGGUCCAGACUCCUACGGGUGGCAG